AAUGGAUAUCUCAAGCAGUACUUAAAUGUAAUAAGAGUACUGUAAGGGAUAUCUGUCUC
This 59-nucleotide non-coding RNA is filed under the name Blattella germanica (German cockroach). Lineage: Eukaryota; Metazoa; Arthropoda; Insecta; Blattodea; Blattellidae. The record is from RNAcentral.